This 253-nucleotide ribosomal RNA is filed under the name uncultured bacterium. RNAcentral describes it as "partial 16S ribosomal RNA". It matches the Rfam family "Bacterial small subunit ribosomal RNA", at positions 524 to 776 of the family's 1533-position model. The record is from RNAcentral.
UACGAAGGGGGCUAGCGUUGUUCGGAAUUACUGGGCGUAAAGCGCACGUAGGCGGAUCGAUCAGUCAGGGGUGAAAUCCCAGGGCUCAACCCUGGAACUGCCUUUGAUACUGUCGAUCUGGAGUAUGGAAGAGGUAAGUGGAAUUCCGAGUGUAGAGGUGAAAUUCGUAGAUAUUCGGAGGAACACCAGUGGCGAAGGCGGCUUACUGGUCCAUUACUGACGCUGAGGUGCGAAAGCGUGGGGAGCAAACAGG